UGUUUAGCAAAAACAUGUCUAUUUGGAGUUUUAAGAAGUCUGGCCUGCCCACUGAUAUAAAAUUUUUAAGGGCCGCGGUAUUAUGACCGUGCUAAGGUAGCAUAAUCAUUAGGUUUUUAAAUGAGAUCUUGUAUGAAUGGUUGAACAAAGAAAAAACUGUCUUUAAUAAUAAAAUUUGAAUUUUACUUUUAAGUGAGAAGGCUUAAAUAAUUUAAGGGGACGAUAAGACCCUAUAAAACUUUACAUUAAAAUUAUAUUUGGUUGAAUUUUAAAGUAAUAAAGAUCUAAAAUAAAGAUUGUUGUGUUGGGGCGACAAAAGUAGAAAUUAUAGUAGCUGCUUGAAAAGGAAUCACUUUUAAGUGAUAAAAGUUAUAGAUCUUAAUUAUAAAUUUAAAGACUAAGUUACUUUAGGGAUAACAGUGUAAUUUUUUUUGAGAGUUCAUAUCGAAAAAAAAGUUUGUAACCUCGAUGUUGAAUUAAAAUAUCUAUAUAAUGAAGUAGUUGUAUAAGAGGGUCUGUUCGACCUUUAAUUUUUUACAUGAUUUGAGUUCAAAUCGGCGUGAGCCAGGUUGUUU
This 575-nucleotide ribosomal RNA is filed under the name unidentified. RNAcentral's name for it is "Somanniathelphusa sp. 1 WGZ-2020 partial large subunit ribosomal RNA". It matches the Rfam family "Bacterial large subunit ribosomal RNA", at positions 1801 to 2636 of the family's 2925-position model. The record is from RNAcentral.